GGACAGUAGCCGUUUUUAGAGACAUUGUUGCAAUUCUACUGAAAAUUGGGGCGAAAAGAAAACAAACAAAUCAUGGGAAAACGUCCUGUGUCGAUGACGGAGGAACUACGGAGGCCGAAGAGGGCCAUGAUGAGCGCAACUGUGCUGCGGUGUAAAACCUCAAUUUCCAAAGGCAAGUGCCAACAUGUCGCUUAUUAAUACAUGAAGCCCUGAGGAGGAAAGAGGUGUGCGCAAGCCAGGCCUGGUGGAGGAGCCUCGACGCUCAAAAGCAACUAUGUGCAGGUUCACAAUGUUACAAGGGUCACGGUGAGCCGGCAACACAGGGC
Molecule: long non-coding RNA, 326 nt
Organism: Scleropages formosus (Asian bonytongue)
Lineage: Eukaryota; Metazoa; Chordata; Actinopteri; Osteoglossiformes; Osteoglossidae
Exons: 4
Source: RefSeq, a predicted model, not a curated record